RNAcentral lists this ribosomal RNA (253 nucleotides) under uncultured bacterium. Its description in RNAcentral is "partial 16S ribosomal RNA". It matches the Rfam family "Bacterial small subunit ribosomal RNA", at positions 524 to 776 of the family's 1533-position model. The record is from RNAcentral.
UACGUAGGGGGCAAGCGUUGUCCGGAAUCAUUGGGCGUAAAGCGCGUGUAGGCGGUUCGGUAAGUCUGCUGUGAAAGUCCAGGGCUCAACCCUGGGAUGCCGGUGGAUACUGUCGAACUAGAGUACGGAAGAGGCGAGUGGAAUUCCCGGUGCAGCGGUGAAAUGCGCAGAUAUCGGGAGGAACACCAAUUGCGAAGGCAGCUCGCUGGGACGUCACUGACGCUGAGACGCGAAAGCGUGGGGAGCAAACAGG